UUAAAUUGAAGAGUUUGAUCAUGGCUCAGAUUGAACGCUGGCGGCAGGCCUAACACAUGCAAGUCGAGCGGUAACACA
RNAcentral lists this ribosomal RNA (78 nucleotides) under Plesiomonas shigelloides. RNAcentral describes it as "partial 16S ribosomal RNA". It matches the Rfam family "Bacterial small subunit ribosomal RNA", at positions 1 to 76 of the family's 1533-position model. The record is from RNAcentral. Lineage: Bacteria; Pseudomonadati; Pseudomonadota; Gammaproteobacteria; Enterobacterales; Enterobacteriaceae.